AGUUAAAGGUUAAGGAAGGGGAGGGGAAGGGGGGAGGGGGAUUAGGGAAUCUCUCUCUCUCAACCUCGCGCAGCGUUUUCUUCCGUUGUUCUCACCUUCACAGGCACUGCAACCGAACUUCAAAUGGUGGAGUCUUCAUCGCCGUUCAUCUCCGUUACCGGUCGUCGAAGGAAUCGUCGCUGUCGUUCGUGUGCCCAGUCAAUCGUGCGUCGUUUCUGUGCACAGAUCUGGUGCUUGUCGAACCCUCUAUUGCCUCUACAUCUUCUGUCGUAGGCCGCCUGAAGUUAUCUGCUGUCGAAAAUUGUCGCCUCAUUGUCGAGCCAGCUGCCACUUGGUUCUCUCAAGAAUUUUGAGAUUUGGAAGGUUGAAUUGGAGUUUUUGGGAGGUUUUAGAUCCGUUGUCCAGCAACUUCAACAGGCGAUUUUGGUGAUUCUGGUACUUUUGGGUGAGAUGUUGUUUGUCUUUUGUUUGGAUAUUUAUUUAAUCUCAAAUAUCCACUAAAUUUUUUGGGUGAGAUGUUGUUUGGCUUUUGUUUGGAUUUUUAUUUAAUCUCAAAUAUCUACUAAAUUUUGGCUU
This is a long non-coding RNA of Benincasa hispida (wax gourd), 576 nucleotides long. RefSeq lists it as uncharacterized. Lineage: Eukaryota; Viridiplantae; Streptophyta; Magnoliopsida; Cucurbitales; Cucurbitaceae. The record is from RefSeq and is a predicted model, not a curated record.